UUCGCCUGUUUAUCAAAAACAUGGCUCCUUGUAAAAAGUAAAUAGGGAGUCGGACCUGCCCAGUGAAAUUUUUUAACGGCCGCGGUACUCUGACCGUGCAAAGGUAGCAUAAUCAUUUGCCUUAUAAUUGAAGGCUAGUAUGAAUGGUUUGACAAGAAUAUAACUGUCUCUUUUUGAUUUUAUAGAAUUUUAUCUAAAGGUGAAGAAGCCUUUAUUAAAUUAAAAGACAAGAAGACCCUAUCGAGCUUGAAAAGAAUAAAGAGGCCAAAUAAUUAAUAAAUUUAAAAAAAAUUUGCUAUUAAUAAUUUUAGUUGGGGCGACUGAGGAACAAAAAAAGCUUCCUUUAUCAAAACUUAAAUACUUACAAAUAUUGAUCCAAAAAUUUUUGAUUAAAGAAAUUAGUUACCGUAGGGAUAACAGCAUUAUCUUUUUUAAGAGUUCUUAUCGAAAAAAGGGUUUGUGACCUCGAUGUUGGACCAGAAUAUCCUAAAGAUGCAGCAGUCUUUAAGGGUUGGUCUGUUCGACCAUUAAAAUUCUACGUGAUCUGAGUUCAGACCGGA
RNAcentral lists this ribosomal RNA (560 nucleotides) under Granulifusus sp. 2 NP-2008. RNAcentral's name for it is "partial 16S ribosomal RNA". It matches the Rfam family "Bacterial large subunit ribosomal RNA", at positions 1795 to 2620 of the family's 2925-position model. The record is from RNAcentral. Lineage: Eukaryota; Metazoa; Mollusca; Gastropoda; Neogastropoda; Fasciolariidae.